GAUGAACGCUGGCGGCGUGCUUAACACAUGCAAGUCGAACGAAGCACUUUAUUACGAUUUCUUCGGAAUGACGAUUUAGUGACUGAGUGGCGGACGGGUGAGUAACGCGUGGGUAACCUGCCUUAUACAGGGGGAUAACAGUUAGAAAUGACUGCUAAUACCGCAUAAGCGCACAGGAUUGCAUGAUCUGGUGUGAAAAACUCCGGUGGUAUAAGAUGGACCCGCGUCUGAUUAGCUGGUUGGUGAGGUAACGGCCCACCAAGGCGACGAUCAGUAGCCGACCUGAGAGGGUGACCGGCCACAUUGGGACUGAGACACGGCCCAAACUCCUACGGGAGGCAGCAGUGGGGAAUAUUGCACAAUGGGGAAACCCUGAUGCAGCGACGCCGCGUGAGCGAAGAAGUAUUUCGGUAUGUAAAGCUCUAUCAGCAGGGAAGAAAAAAUGACGGUACCUGACUAAGAAGACCCCGGCUAACUACGUGCCAGCAGCCGACGG
Molecule: ribosomal RNA, 496 nt
Filed under: uncultured bacterium
Lineage: Bacteria
Description: bacterial SSU rRNA
Rfam family: Bacterial small subunit ribosomal RNA
Source: RNAcentral